Long non-coding RNA from Glycine soja, 403 nucleotides. RefSeq lists it as uncharacterized. The record is from RefSeq and is a predicted model, not a curated record. NCBI's taxonomy places the organism in Eukaryota, Viridiplantae, Streptophyta, Magnoliopsida, Fabales, Fabaceae. The transcript is spliced from 4 exons.
CAAUCACGUGGCUCUGACAAACAGGACAACCUUUUGAGUGAGAAGGUCAAGAAGCAAUGGAAGGAACUGGAAGAAAAUAAGUUGAUGUGACUGUAUUAGUAUAAGUUUGAACUAUUAUUUUAUAUUAAUUUUGUUCAUCAACAGGUCGUAUUGGAAAGCAAUGCCGAGAGAGGUACUAAUACUUGCUUCCCGGAAAGAAGGAUGCAUGGACAGAGGAGGAGGAACUAGCUUACUAUUACCAAAUAUACGAUAAUAAGUGGGCAGAAAUUGUAAGGAUUCUUCCUGGAAGUAAGAUAUGAAGCGCAUCUAUGGGAUAACAGCCGUAGGCGAGAGGUUCAGGCCAGAAAAGGGCAUCAAGACUACUAAUUGAAAAGUCCAGUUGAAGAUCAAUGUAGCAAUAAAA